CCUACGGGAGGCAGCAGUGAGGAAUAUUGGUCAAUGGCCGUAAGGCUGAACCAGCCAAGUCGCGUGAAGGAAGAAGGAUCUAUGGUUUGUAAACUUCUUUUAUAGGGGAAUAAAGGUAUCCACGUGUGGAUAUUUGCAUGUACCCUAUGAAUAAGCAUCUGCUAACUCCGUGCCAGCAGCCGCGGUAAUACGGAGGAUGCGAGCGUUAUCCGGAUUUAUUGGGUUUAAAGGGUGCGUAGGUUGUUUUUUAAGUCAGCGGUGAAAGUUUGUGGCUCAACCAUAAAAUUGCCGUUGAAACUGGAAGACGUGAGUGGGUUUGAGGUAGGCGGAAUGCGUGGUGUAGCGGUGAAAUGCAUAGAUAUCACGCAGAACUCCGAUUGCGAAGGCAGCUUACUAAGCCAUAACUGACACUGAAGCACGAAAGCGUGGGGAUCAAACAGGAUUAGAUACCCCAGUAGUC
This 460-nucleotide ribosomal RNA is filed under the name uncultured bacterium. Its description in RNAcentral is "partial 16S ribosomal RNA". It matches the Rfam family "Bacterial small subunit ribosomal RNA", at positions 338 to 795 of the family's 1533-position model. The record is from RNAcentral.